This 712-nucleotide long non-coding RNA is filed under the name Mus musculus (house mouse). RNAcentral's name for it is "predicted gene 16275". Lineage: Eukaryota; Metazoa; Chordata; Mammalia; Rodentia; Muridae. The record is from RNAcentral.
AUCACUAAAAGGAUGACAGCGCUAUUGAUAGAGAGAACAGGACUUUUAUAGGAUUUGACUGCAUUCUUACGAAGUUGUAGCUUUGGCUUAAGUGCGUCUUUAGGCCUGUGACCUUCAGAACUUUCUUUUUUACAUUUUAAGUAUUUUAUUUCUUUAUUUUUUAUUUUUAUUUUUAUUUUAAGACAGGGUUUCUCUCCGUAGCCCUGGCUGUCUUGGAAUGCUCUCUAUAGACCAGGCUGGCCUCAAACUCAGAGAUCAGCCUGCCUCUGCCACCCUAGCACGGAAACAGCUGAGCAGGAAAUGACUGAAUAGCCACUACCAUGGCCAGGGUUGGGGCAGAGACGGGGAGGCCUGCUUGCUCAUAGCAACAGGACAGCAGGCUGUCCACUGAUCAAGAACACCUGCCCUGCACAGCCCUGAAGGGGUGCCAUCCCUCCUUUGCGUGUCAUCUGGACAAGUGAGUUUUGUUCCAGUUCUCAUAGAAGCCACCGCACUGCGGAGCCUGAAGUUACACAAGAAGCAAGACAAGGUCUUCCAUGGUUGGAAGGGCCCCACAUGAUGUCUCUUGUGAGAAGAUGGGUUUCCCAGCCAGAGUCCAUCUCCUGUGCAGGUGGUCUCAGGUUGGUGACACUAAGAUCAGCCUCCUAUGGGGCUUCAAGCCCCCUUCCUCUACCCCUGUGCUGCUGAGAACCAGGUGGGCGGACAGGAACGC